AAAGUUCAUUCAUUUGAACUGAGUUCAAUACAUCUUGUCUAUUUAUGAUAACAUUAAGAAAAAAAAACAACAGAAUACUCAUCAGGGAACUGUUCAAGCUUUAUCAUCAAUAACAUCAAUAGUACGUCAUCAAAUUUUAUAUAUUGCCAGAAGACACUAUCUAGGCAUCGUAUUCUGCCUGGUAGAACUUGUUCUCAGGAUAAAACACAGCCACAACUUGAUUCCC
Molecule: unclassified non-coding RNA, 226 nt
Filed under: Hevea brasiliensis (rubber tree)
Lineage: Eukaryota; Viridiplantae; Streptophyta; Magnoliopsida; Malpighiales; Euphorbiaceae
Source: RNAcentral